UGGGGAAUAUUGCGCAAUGGGGGGAACCCUGACGCAGCCAUGCCGCGUGAAUGAAGAAGGCCUUAGGGUUGUAAAGUUCUUUCGGUAUGGAGGAAGGUUGAUGUGUUAAUAGCACAUCAAAUUGACGUUAAAUACAGAAGAAGCACCGGCUAACUCCGUGCCAGCAGCCGCGGUAAUACGGAGGGUGCGAGCGUUAAUCGGAAUAACUGGGCGUAAAGGGCACGCAGGCGGUUAUUUAAGUGAGGUGUGAAAGCCCCGGGCUUAACCUGGGAAUUGCAUUUCAGACUGGGUAACUAGAGUACUUUAGGGAGGGGUAGAAUUCCACGUGUAGCGGUGAAAUGCGUAGAGAUGUGGAGGAAUACCGAAGGCGAAGGCAGCCCCUUGGGAAUGUACUGACGCUCAUGUGCGAAAGCGUGGGGAGCGAACAGGAUUAGAUACCCUGGUAGUCCACGCUGUAAACGCUGUCGAUUUGGGGGUUGGGGUUUAACUCUGGCGCCCGUAGCUAACGUGAUAAAUCGACCGCCUGGGGAGUACGGCCGCAAGGUU
Molecule: ribosomal RNA, 546 nt
Filed under: uncultured bacterium
Lineage: Bacteria
Description: bacterial SSU rRNA
Rfam family: Bacterial small subunit ribosomal RNA
Source: RNAcentral